Molecule: ribosomal RNA, 1203 nt
Filed under: Triticum aestivum (bread wheat)
Lineage: Eukaryota; Viridiplantae; Streptophyta; Magnoliopsida; Poales; Poaceae
Description: partial small subunit ribosomal RNA
Source: RNAcentral
AUGUGGAGGUCCAUCUUGCUCGUGGUGGUGGUCGCGCUGGCGCUGGCGCCGGCGCCGGCGCUGGGGAUCCCGUUCACCGAGAAGGACCUCGCCUCGGAGGAGAACCUGCGGGGGCUCUACGAGAGGUGGAGGAGCCACUACACGGUGUCGCGGAGGGGCCUCGGCGCCGACGCGGAGGAGCGCCGGUUCAACGUGUUCAAGGAGAACGCGCGGUACAUCCACGAGGGCAACAAGAAGGACAGGCCCUUCAGGCUGGCGCUCAACAAGUUCGCCGACAUGACCACGGACGAGUUCCGGCGCACGUACGCCGGGUCCAGGGUGCGGCACCACCUUUCCCUGAGCGGCGGCCGCCGGGGCGACGGCAGCUUCAGGUACGGCGACGCCGACAACCUGCCGCCGGCGGUGGACUGGCGGCAGAAGGGCGCGGUCACCGCCAUCAAGGACCAAGGGCAGUGCGGGAGCUGCUGGGCGUUCUCGACGAUCGUGGCUGUGGAGGGCAUCAACAAGAUCAGGACGGGGAAGCUGGUGUCGCUGUCGGAGCAGGAGCUCAUGGACUGCGACAACGUCAACAACCAGGGCUGCGACGGCGGCCUCAUGGACUACGCCUUCCAGUUCAUCCACAAGAACGGGAUCACCACCGAGUCCAACUACCCGUAUCAAGGCGAGCAGGGCAGCUGCGACCUGGCAAAGGAAAAGGCUCAUGCCGUGACAAUCGACGGCUACGAGGAUGUCCCCGCCAACGAUGAGUCUGCCCUACAGAAAGCCGUCGCAGGCCAGCCCGUGUCCGUUGCAAUAGAUGCCAGCGGCAACGACUUCCAGUUCUACUCAGAGGUACGUGAUCCCAUCCAACUCCGUGCAAUUGAUACACAUGUUUGCUUGCUCUUGUCGGUGCUAUGUUCGGUGUUAAGUGACAACUCUGAUCACCCUCAACGAACGCAGGGCGUCUUCACUGGAGAAUGCAGCACGGAUCUCGACCACGGUGUCGCCGCCGUCGGGUACGGCACUACUCGGGAUGGCACCAAAUACUGGAUCGUGAAGAACUCGUGGGGAGAGGACUGGGGUGAGAAGGGCUACAUCAGGAUGCAGCGCGGGGUGUCGCAGGCAGAGGGGCAGUGUGGCAUCGCCAUGCAGGCGUCGUACCCAACUAAGUCGGCACCACGUGCUAGGGCAGUCAGGGAAGGGUCUCAUACUGAUGAGCUCUGA